Neofelis nebulosa (Clouded leopard) is the source of this 3635-nucleotide RNA transcript. It is a transcript of the gene named anthrax toxin receptor-like, with no coding region annotated. The transcript is spliced from 21 exons. The record is from RefSeq and is a predicted model, not a curated record. NCBI's taxonomy places the organism in Eukaryota, Metazoa, Chordata, Mammalia, Carnivora, Felidae.
GUCAUAAUGUCACCGAUUAGAAAGUUCUUUGCUCUCCUGCUGCUAAGUGUUUUGGUUUUUCUUCAGCCACUUGGAGACCAUGUUACAGUUUGUGUGCACGUUCACAACAGUUUGGUCUGAUCAAGCUUUGUCUUAGGAAACUGGGAUGUGCAUCUUAUGGUCUUUGAUGGAAAGGGGGUGGAUCUUCGUGCUUGGAGAGACUGGAGAGGUUGCCUUGGUUCCCUUUUCAACUCCUCUGGUGGGUUGAGAAUAAACUUUACUGAUUCAGUGGUAGCAGUAGCAUGACUGUCAAUAUAGUGUCAAUAUAGCACUUUUUGGUUUCCAGAGCCCAUUUAUUGUACUUUUGUCAUCCUCAUAAUCAUCGUGGGGUCAGGGGGUGGGGAGCACCCCAGCAUGUAGCGUACGGACGUAUUUGCAUUUGCAAUCUCCUGGAAAGAGGACGGAAUCUAGAGUUUGAUGAAGUGGCACUGAGACUGGUAGGACUGGCAAGACUCAGGCUUCAUGUGUGCCCUGAUGGCAGCAUCCCAGGCUGUACUGCCUCUGAUUCCUUCUAUUCUCCAUGGAGGCUGAUGAUUGGGGAGUUGUGUACCCAGCCCACUAGCAUUUAAGGAAAGCCGGCAGAGCUGGGAGCCACCAUGCCCACUGAAUAAGUCCCUCUUCACUGUCCUAUGGAGGGACUUCUGAGUUGUCCUCAGCAGGUUAUGCCUCAUUGAUACUUGGCACAGCCCAGAGGGAUGGUGAUUUCUCUCUUGGGCAUUGGGCUUGGGAGACGAAUGGGCAUUGUAAAGGAAUGAAAGCCUCUCUGCGUCAGUCUUUGCAGAGGAUGGUAAUGAGUCCAAAGGGCCCCCUCAGGUGCCAUGCUGUUACAGUGCUCCUGCCAAUGCAUAUUUCUGCCAUUAGGCCCGAUGUGGGUACGGUUCAACCCUGCAAUGGAUAAGAAGGGCUCUUUGCACAAGUAGGACAUGUGAGAAAAACAUUCAUUGAGCACUUAUUGUGUUCCAGGCAAUGUGUUGACCACUUUGGUCUCCUCCUGCUUAGAGGAACAGGAUCUAUUUUCCUAUUUUAGGGUGAAUCAACGGAGUCUGGAGAGUCCAGUGUUUUCUCAGUGUCAAUUAAGCUAGUUUGCUGCAAAAGAUUAGAUAAUAGGGGUUGGUCUCCUCCCCUCUCUCCCAAAGAGGGUGUAAAGUAAGGGUAUGAAAAGGUACCAUUCUAAAGAGGUGGUCAGGAAAGUCAGGGCUGACAGACAGGAUUGUGAGGAGUUCAGGCAAGGGCAGUGUUUUUGACCAGAUGAGGUGUAUGAUUGGAACUAGUUUUAAGCGAAUCACAGUUGAGCAAAAAGGCAGAGACCAGUGAGGGGCUGGCACAGAGGUCCACAGACGACAUGAUAGUGGCAUAGAACAAUAGGGUAGGCGUGGUAAUAAUGAGUGGCCAAGUUCUGCAUCUUAUUUGAAACUAGAGGUCACAGGAAUCCAGACAGAUUGGAUGGGGGAGGCAAUGUGUGAGCCCAGACUGGGGGCAAGAGUAAGGUAGGAAAACAGCUUCAUCACUGCAUCUUCCUCACAACUACAGGUCAGACAAUGCAAACAGCAUUUGGAAGGACAUUUAUAAAUUUGUGGAUGAUCUGGUGAAGAGGUUUCCAAAUUCAAAAAUGAGGAUGUCCUUAAUCACCUACUCCACACAGAGCGACACCAUCAUGAAUCUCACCUCUGACAGAACUAAAAUACAUAAUAGUCUUGAAAAAAUUCAGAAUAUAGUGCCUACCGGAGCCGCAAACAUGCAUGAAGGAUUUAAAAAGGCAAAUGAGCAGAUUGAAAAAGCAAUCUAUGGAGGCAACAAUGCUCCCAGUCUGAUUAUUGGUCUGACUGCAGGACCACUGACACCAAGGACAUUUGAGGAGACUAAGUCUGAAGCUGAGAAGGCUCGUGAAAGGGGCGCCAAAGUUUAUUCUGUGGGUGUAAAAGACUAUAAGAAUGACCAGCUAAAAGACAUUGUAGAAAGAAAUGACCAAUUUUAUGGGGUAAACAGUGGAUUCGAGUCCCUGGAAGACAUCGUUAACAUGCUGGUGGUAAAUUCCUGUCAUGAAAUUAUGGCUGGGGAGAGUUACUUUGUUUGUGUAGGAGAAGAAUAUGAUAUGAGAUUUUAUGAUCCUGACUUACAUCAACACACGAUGGAUGAAUUUGUUUGCAGAUAUAAGUUGGAUGUCGACAAUAUCCUCCAUAAAAAACCUCUACUUAAGGAUGAUGAAUCUUUAGCUUGCCCAGGACAUGUAUUUAAGGAGCCUGGACAGGUGGUCAUCGUUCAAUACAGCCUGAACAAUGGCGUCACCUUCAUUGAGGAGAGCAUGAAAGUAACCAGCCUGAAUUGUGGCAAUACAUCAGAGCCCACAGAUGCCCCAAAGGAGGAGACUUCGGUCCCCACAGUUGGCACACAGAAGACAACAGUGCCCACAGUUGUCACACAGGAGGCACCAGCACCCAUGGAUGUCACAGAAAAGCCUACCCUUGACUACCUAUUCCCAUUGUUCGUCCCAACCCUGAUCAUUAUCGUGGUGGUGAUCUGCUGUCUCUGUUGCUGCAGGAAGCCCUGCAAGGAGCUACCAGUGCAGAAGAUAGUAAUGAAGCCAGAGACAUGUAUACAGACACGUACCCCGGUGAUUGUCCCUUCUUGUAUGUACCAGGAAGACACUAUAAGACGGAUAGAGGGCAAACUGGACACCUUGUGUGACUUUGUGCAAAGCUGCAACCAGAUCCCAUUGAUGUGGUGUCAGCCCAGGAACGCGGGGAAGUAUAUCAUCUUCAACUUCGUGAAUCCCCUCUGCGGGCAGUUGCCCUAUAGCCCAAACAUUUGCCUUCCACCCAGCCAGGAGUGCUUUCCUCUCAACAGCUGCUGCUCACAAUGCCAACACCCCUCCUUCAUAUGCUCCCAGCCACCCUCCAGGAUGCUGUCACUGCUCCCUCCUCCUGCCCAUGCACUCUCCAGAACUACUUUGUCACUCCCACCCCCAUAACCCAGCCUCUAAAGUCCCCAGGACCCAAGACUGUUAAGAGCUCUUUGUGUACCAAAUUGGAUAUAUAUAUAUUGAGUCUUGGUUUACGAUCAAAGGAGUUGGAAUUGUGGCUGAUCAACAAGAAUUUGUUGCCUGGUUAACAAUAAUUGGUGAUCAGAAGUGGGAUCUAGAGAAGACCCCCAACAAUUCCAAGGCUGGUGAGCAAACAGAUGGUGGUACCCCCAGAGCUAAUUGGACUCACUGCUUUCUUGCCAACCCUGGAGUUUGAGGGUCAGAAAGUACAAAGAAGUCCUGGAAGGACAUUCACAAAUUUGUGGAGGAAGUGGUGAAGAGGUUCACAAAGUAGCAUAAACCUACGGAUCUCCAUAAUCACCUAUGCCUCAUAUGGCUUCACCCAUUUACGACUCAACAAAGACAGGGGGAAAGUAGGAAACAUUCUUAAAGACCUUAAGAAUCUAGAGCCUUCAGGAGAGACAAACAUAAAGUAUGCAUUUAUGGAGGUACCAAAUCUAGAGCUCUGAGGAUCUCUGCUUUCUGGAGUUCUUAGAGUAUCCUGGGUCCUCCCACUGCCCCCGCCAACACUCCUUCAUUUCCUAGCAGUCAAAUGAGCAGAUUAAUAAUCAGUGGC